Long non-coding RNA from Chinchilla lanigera (long-tailed chinchilla), 6170 nucleotides. RefSeq lists it as uncharacterized. The transcript is spliced from 4 exons. NCBI's taxonomy places the organism in Eukaryota, Metazoa, Chordata, Mammalia, Rodentia, Chinchillidae. The record is from RefSeq and is a predicted model, not a curated record.
UCAGAGUUUGGAGGUUCACUCCACCAGCCUUAGCCCCUUGGCUCUGGCUUACAGUGAGUCAUUGCUCGCCUCAUCAGCAGGAGGCAAAGAUAGAGGGGAAGGGCUUGGGGUCCCGAAGGAGCACAUUUCCAGCAGCCUAAGAACCUUCCACAGGUCACAGUCCGGAAGGUGCACAGCACCUCCCCGCAAAGCCAGUCUGAGGAGGGUCCGUUGAUGACUUCGGCGGGUAUUUAACAUCCAUACUAUAGAUGCUGUAUAGGUUGUGCACUGCACGAAGCUGCCUGCCAGAGGGGUCCAAGAGGAGUGGGAGGUCCUGCUUGUUUGUUACUCACCACUCUGGCACGUGGUCUCGCUUGCCUGCCUCCUAAUUAAAUAAAGGCUCUGAAGAGGGUCACAGCGCAGGGAGGGGAGGGCUCCUUAUCAUCAAGCUCUUGCAGCGGUGGGAAGGCAGUAACAGGGCUGAGGCUCUGGGGAGAACAGGAAAGCUUUUUUUGCUAGAAACUCAUUUUGUGUGUGUACGGUGCUGGGGACUGAACCCUGGGCCUUGUGCAUGCAAGGCAAGAGUUGUACCCCUAAGCUACAUGCUUAGCCCUGGAAACUCAUAUUUCUAAAAGGCUUCAAAUUUAGACUUUUCUCAUUAAACCCAAGUGAAUUUAUAAAUAUAAGUACAGAAUCACACCUUUAUAAUCAGAUAAGUAAACUAGUGCAUGAGUUUUAUAGCGUGGUGUUGGGAUGUUUGCAUUUUCAAGUGCAAUAGGUGUGUGUAGGAGUGAGAGGGAUCCGGACUACUCUGGAAGCCCUUGUCCUGCUCCCCAGGACCUAGCCCUGCUUCUGGGCCCAGGCGGGCAGGUGGGUGUCGGACAGGUCACCUGCACCGAGGGCACCCUUAUGUGUUGACCCCUGCUGCCCUCUGCCUUUGGUGUGGGGGCCCAGGGCUCUUCCUUAUGCAGUGGGACGGUCGUGGAGAUGAGCCUUUGGGCUUGGUCCCUGCCUUGUGUGGGUGAGUAACAGGAGGGGUGACUGCAGGCCGAGGAAGGGCAGGCGGGUGGGAGCGUGCUGGGUUGCUAAGGACAAAGCAUCUCCCUUCCUGUGGAGCUGUCACUGCCUGGCACCUAAGAGUUUCCCUGGAACUUCCUCUGCUUUAGCACUAAGAUCCUACAGCCUGAGAUAGUCUGGGCAAUGUGGGACGGCAAACAGUUGCUCUUGGUGGAUUUGUUAAACAAAUGAAUAAAUGUGGAUUUUAUUUUCCCCAAAUCUGCACUCACUGAAGAGAACACGCUCAUGUUCUUUGUGGAAGAGACAAGGACAGAGCAGGGGUUGGCGGCUCCUGGCCAUGUGGAGAUCCAGCCGCUGCCUCCUCUGCUGGUGGCCUGAGCACUAGAAUGGCUUUUAAAAAAUCAAGUGAAGAAUAAUAGUGAUUUGUGAAGAUGUUAUGAAAAUGGAUUUGGGGGUCCACAAAUGCAGUGUAAUUGGAGCACGGCGGUGCGUGUUCGUUUACGUACUGUCUAGGGCAGCUUCAGCACUGUGACCACAGAGGAAAGUAGUUCUGACAAAGACAGCGUGACCCGCAAAUCCUGAAAUGUUUGCGAUUUGGUCUUGUGCAGGAAUAGUCUGCAGGUGCUGGGGGUAGAAGCAGCUGCAUGCACUCAAAGAGAGACAGAGGGCGAGGGUGGGAGGGCUCGCGCUGUGGAAUGGCGAUCCCUUCCACACGGGAUGCCAGCGCACUGGCAGGACUCACGACCAGGCUCUCUGCUGCACUGGCAAGGUUUCUGCACCCGCAGAAGCUGAGCGCUUCUGAGAGUAGGGAUGGCCCGCUGUGACGUGUGUGGAGAGGGAGACCUGGCUGUGACUCGGGAUGGGCCCAGGGCCUUUUCUGUUUUCUAGGUACCAGCGGUGGCUCUUGGCCUCUAAUAGGACUAGAUUCUAAAGGUGCCCGCUGGUGGCUGGGACCAAAUGUCUACCCAGCCUGUUGGGGGUGGGGCCUGGAAAGUGAUAGGAGCUGAACGUAAUGAAAACAAACACAGAGCAAUCGCCUAUGCGUCUGAGAGUGGCGGCCAAGCCUGCUCCUGGCAAGUUCCACAGAGGUUCUGCUGGCCCAGCUGUCUCAGGGGACCAGGGCAGAGCUGGAGUACGUGGGUAGUCCAGGAAGUGCCCUUGAGCCAAGGCUGAAGCAUGAGAACUGCGAGGAGAGGAGUGUUUAAAGUCCUUAGGCCGGACUCCUCCCCACUCGCUAGGAGCCACUGCCAACCUGCUGCAUGGUUGGUGCUAAAUAAGUGCUUAAAUAAAUGAGCAGAAACCUUGUUUUUCUUUUCUAGCCCCAAAGAUCUUGUUAUGAUCUGAAGUGAAUGCUUUUCAGGGUUGUGUGACCUUAAGUAAACUGCUGUCAUUCCCAGGUGUUUCCUACUAAGCUUUAAGGAUAAUAGUAGAAUGAAACCAUAUUCUUCAGUUAAAGGGAUUGAAAUAUUCGUGAAAUAGCCUGUGACCAGGCCUUUGAAAUCAGCAUUCCAGUAAAAAUGCCAGCAGCCACGUGCACCCGGUUGAGUGCCAGGUGUUUGAGGAGUGCGCUGUGUGAAUUAUCUGAGCUCUCACGGACACGUUGCCAGGUAGGUGUUCUUACUGGACGGAUGGGGAAAACAAAGUUCAGACAGCUGGAGAAACUGAUGCAGACUCCAACGUCUGCCGAUUAUUUUUCUAAGUCCCCGGUGGGAAAUGGGUCCUAGAAGAACAGGGCUCAGCACCAUUUUCUAGACCAACAGGUCCCUAUGUCUUGGUUACUUUCUCCCCACGAGGACACAGUACCCCAUAGUCACAACUUCAAAGAGCAGAGGGUUACUUCGGCUCACGUUUCCAGUGCACUGUCAGCUGGUUCCAAGAGGAAAAGGGCUUGGAAGAGGGCCUGGGCGAGGAAAGCUGCUUCCCUCACAGGAGCUGGGAAGCAGAGCAGAGGGAGCAACAUGCACGGCCCUCCUCAGAGAGCCGCCUCCUCUGCCACUGUGCACCGCCCCAUGAUUCCAUCAGCCUGAGAGAGCCCCGCCUGCACGCGUGCCAGGCUGCGGGGCACUUGCUCCCCCGGCCCGGACCUUACCACCUGGGAACUAGCGUCCUUGCCUUUCUGUCCACAGGUUGAAUUUCUGAACAUCAGCAGUCACACGGCCAUGACAGACUCAGAUUAAGGAAAACAGAUUAAGCUUUUCUCCUGGCUUUUUUCCUAGCUGCACGCAGCUGAUUUUUCAUCAAUCAUCUCAGAAGAGACAUAGAUAAAUCUCUGCUUCAUUAUAUUCGUCAGAAGCCUGAGGAACUACAGAAGUGUAUUAUUUUUGAAUAAUUUAGCCAAACAGUUCCCUGUGCUUGAGGAGGUACUGUACCUGGACUGGAGUCCUGGAGACCAGAUGAAGAAACUGAGGUCCCAGGAGGGGAAGUGAUUUGGUCCGGGUCUCACCAGGAUCAAAUGUGGUUUGCCUGACUCACGUGCAUUGCUCAUGCCCACACCGGUCCAUCAAGGAAGCCUGUGUGUGUGCAAGGGGGAGGGCUAGACCACGCCUCGCCGCAGAUUUUGAAGCUUAUGAUGGGCAAUUUCAAACAAAUAAAGUCAUCAGACCGCUACAGUGAAGUUUCAUCCACUACCACCCAGCUUCGGUAUUAACAGCUCCUGCUGAAUGUGAUCUUCAUGUACUUCUCUGCUUCUUUAUUAUUUUGAAGCGGAUCUUAAGACAUUAUAUUUCUUUGGUCCUAAAUAUUUCAGCACGUACCAUAAAAGACAAAAGUGCUUAAAGCCUCACUGUGACAUUUUUAUUACUCUUUAUAAAGCUCACAUCAAGUCUUCAGUAUCAGGAUCUUUAAGUCACCUGGUGACUCAGGCACGGCCGAGGGCAGUGCUAGGUGCAGAGCAGCGCCGGCAUGGGAAGAGAAGCUCUGCACAGGAGAGUGGUGGGACCUUCCGACGGAAGGGCAAGCAACUCGGUUGCCAGGUGAACUGUGCGAUGCCUACUUGCCACAGAGCCAGAAGUGUGUUUCGCUCAUAGAACAAUAAGCUGGGAGAAGAGGCAGUGUGUGCGGGAGGGAUAGAAGCAGAAGGACAGGGCUGGACAGGUGCAGCAGUAUCCUCAGAGGAUGCUAUUUGCGGAUGCUGUCACCUAUAUUUUCUCCUUUGAGCCUCCCCUGAACCAUCUGGCUAGGAGAGUCAACUCCAGUUUCUUCCCUGUCCCAUGGAGAUAUUCUUGUUUCCCGCAGAGGUGGUGCCCACGGCUCCCCACUGCUGCUGCAUCCAGGCUGCCUCAGCACCCUCACGGGUUCUCCUACACCAUCUGCUCUUUGUAAACAGCCUGGACUUUGGCAGGUCUCUUGCCACUGCCAACCUGCUUGAGUGUGUUAGCCGGGGUCUGGGAGCACCACGACUGGUAAGCACUAUAUGCCAUCGGGGGUAAUAUGCAGUGGAACUCUACCCCCCAUAGUAGGUGUUUCUUUGGGUGGAGCCCCGCCUCAUCUCUCUCCAGCAUGCAGAAAGGGCCUGUAGAGGAACAGCCACGUGAACAUUUUAGCAUGUUGAUCAAAAGUCAGUAGGAGAAAGAAAGGAGCUGCAGGCUGUUUGUCACCACUAGGCUAUCCAAGUAAGCCUCUUCAUGAUUCGUCCUACACAGCAGGCUUCAACAGGAAACGGUUAUUUUAGCGUCCUCGCUCCUCCUCCUGUGAUGUUGACUUUGUAAAAUGUUUUCACAAUUUCCUUCUCUUUGCAGCUGCAGCCUCCUGUCAGCAUAGUCUUUUACCAACAGCAUAAACAGCUCAGAGAUUCUGACUUUGUUGGAAGAAAUAUACUGGCUUCUCUGAGUGAAGACUUCUGUAGGGUGAAGUGUCCUCAUUGUAAUCCCAUAUAUAUUUCUACAACUCCACCAUCUUACACCGAAGCUGGCUGUGUGAAUAUGUGACCUAGUGACCUUGGGAAAAAUGAGACAAACAGGCUGCUGACGAGAGCUGGCCAGGAUGGGGCUGCAGAGAGAUCAGGUGCAUGGAUCAAGAACACAUUUACCUCAGAUCCACCUGGAGAGGAGGAAAAAGAAGGCUCAUGUCAGAUCAAUCAGUUGCCCUUUUUGUGUGUAGGGAAACCAACAUCAUGUCUUAGAAUCCUAGAGCUGUGCAGAGCUGUAGGAAUGACCCAGACCAGGGUCAGAAAUCUGUAGCUCAUGGACACCUGAUUCUGUAAAGAAAAUUUUACUGGAACAUAGUCAUGGUCACUGGUUUGCAUCUUGUCUAUAACUGGUUUUUGGAUGGAACAAUGGAGUUGAACAGUUAUGACAAAGAACAUGUGGUCUGCAAAGCUAAAAGCAUUCACUACAUGGCCCUUUAUAGAGAGUUUGUUGACCACUGACCUAAGCAAGUACCUCUUACAGUUAUUACCCGUCCUGCAGGAUGCUCUAUGCAAAGAAAAUUCUGGCCAAAACACUUGGAAAACACACAAUUUUGCCCUCUUGGAGCUUCAUGAGUUACACCACCCUAUUGUAAGAGUCCCUGCCCAAAUCCUCUGAGAGUUCUGCUUUCUGUGAGCAUAGUGUCACUUUCUGUUUGUUUCCUUCACCUUCUUGUCCAGGAAGUUCACGUGGUACCUGUGUGGGGAGGUGGAAGUAGCUGAGAGUCAAUGCCUUCCAAAGUAGACCUCAAGCCGUGAUGGAUGGCACAUGGGAGAAAAUUCCACACUUUCCUUGCCUCUUGGCUGAGAAAACUCUGAGGCACGUUCCCCAUUUCUCCCGGUGCUCACCAGGGGAUUGCACUCCAGGUGCUCACAGUGGGCCUACUCAUUCAGCGACCAUGUGUUGAGUGGGUGGAAAUCACCUCCUGAAGAAUUUUAUUCUAAUCCUUAGAGUGUGCUUCUAGGUGAACCUGAGCUAAGCUAAGGACUAAUUGAAGGGUGUGAGAAGUCUUUCUUACUGUGGUCCUUAAGAAUCUUUCUGAUAUGGCCUCAAUCCAACGUAUCAGCGUAAAUCUUCACAUCUCCCCCAUAUCUUUGCCUUAUGCUGCUUUUGAGUCAGAUCAAACUCUUUUUUUUUUUUUCCAAUAUAUUGAAACUGCCAUGCUCUUAUAUGACAAUGUUAUUUUAUUCUUGUUGCCUUGACAACACCUACUCCACUUUCAGGCCAUAGAUAAAAUGUCAUAUCAUCUGGAGAGUCAAAAAUAUUAAA